RNAcentral lists this long non-coding RNA (817 nucleotides) under Citrus x clementina. RNAcentral describes it as "Citrus clementina (C. clementina) long non-coding RNA (CCLE_LNC004925)". Lineage: Eukaryota; Viridiplantae; Streptophyta; Magnoliopsida; Sapindales; Rutaceae. The record is from RNAcentral.
GCAAAGCCGCGCACAAAAAUAACCGCCCGAAGGCCGGGGCGCCAAGUUCGUCCUGCGGAAAAAGGCCACAAAAAUGGGUGGGCUAUAGCCUUGGGGGGUGGGGCUGGCCAACUAUGUCCGCCGGACUCGGAAUGCCGCGAGACUUUGCGAGGGUCCUCCGUGUGCCAUAAAUAGGCCGCGGGCAAAGCCGGGCCCAAACAUAACCGCCCGAAGGCCGGGGCGCCAAGUUCGUCCAGCGGAAAAAGGCCACAAAAACGGGUGGGCUAUAGCCUUGGGGGGUGGGGCUAGCCAACUUCGUCCGCCGGACUUGGAAUGCCGUGAGACUUUGCGAGGGGCCUGCGUCUGCCAAAAAUAGGCCACGAGCAAAGCCGCGCCCAAAAAUAACCGCCCGAAGGCCGGGGCGCCAAGUUCGUCCGCCGGACUCGGAAUGCCGCGAGACUUUGCGAGGGGCCUCCGUGUGCCAAAAAUAGGCUGCGGGAACAGCUUCACCCAAAAAUAAGCGACCGAAGGCCGGCGCACCAAGUUCGUCCAGCGGAAAAAGGCCAAAAAAACGGGUGGGCUAAAGCAUUGGGGGGUGGGGCUGGCCAAGUUCGUCCGCCGGACUCGGAAUGGCGCGAGACUUUGCGAGUAGCCUCCGUGUGCCAAAAAUAGGCCGCGGGCACAGCUUCACCCAAAAAUAAGCGACCGAAGGCCGGGGCGCCAAGUUCGUCCAGCGGAAAAAGGCCAAAAAAACGGGUGGGCUAUAGCCUUGGGGGGUGGGGCUGGCCAAGUUCGUCCGCCGGACUCGGAUUGGCGUGAGACUUUGCGAGGGGCCUCC